Fragaria vesca subsp. vesca is the source of this 688-nucleotide RNA transcript. RefSeq lists it as uncharacterized. The record is from RefSeq and is a predicted model, not a curated record. The transcript has 2 exons. NCBI's taxonomy places the organism in Eukaryota, Viridiplantae, Streptophyta, Magnoliopsida, Rosales, Rosaceae.
GUGACUGCGUGAGCGACUGCUCAGCUGUUUCGCCUGCUCGCCAUCUGCUGCUCUGCUCCUGCUCGGCUGCAGACCACUGAGACCAGGUCCAGAUGAACAAAUUAGUCGUGUCAAAAGGCCUAGAUCAAAAGAUAUCUGCACAUGGUUCAGUAAAGUUCGACCAUCAUCAUGUUCAAGUUCUUGCUAAGGUACUCCUUCUUGCUAAAAGCUUUUAUCCUCAAGAUUUUGUGCAAGAUGACUUUCUUUCUUUGGAAUUAGAGUGUGCAUAUUAUAAGAAAGAUAUGACUCAGGAUGUAGCAUUCCACACCUUAUAUUUUAUAUCUGAUUUGUGUCGGCAACUUGUUUAAAGAAGAAAAUUAGACUUCUAUCCUAUGAUCUAUAGGUUGAUUUGUUUAAGUGUUUACUCUUCUUGUUUCUACUGCAACCACUGAGAGAGCUUUUUCAUCUAUGAACAUCAUCAAAAACAAACUUAGAAACAAGAUAGAGGAUGAGUUUCUUGAUGAUUGCAUGGUGCUUCAUAUUGAAAAAGAAUUUGUUGAAGCAGUUGACAAUGAGAUGGUGAUUAAAGAUUUUGAAGCUUUAAUUUGGGGCCUCGUAGAGUACAGUUUAGUUAGUUUUUAAUUGUGUUUCUUGUAUUAUAUUGUGUCUAAUUUUUGUUCAUGUAAAUGCGUUUGAGGGUAAGAUUUGC